CACUCAGAUGCCCUGAGAAAUUGCAUUUUCAAACUUGGAGCAGUAUGGAAAACAUGGAAAUUCUGAGACAUGGAUAUCCAUCCCAAAGGAGAUCUGCUCUCUACCAUCAGUCUUGGGACUAACAUUAUCAACAUUAAGCUCUAUUUUGGAACCUAAAAUUUAGUCCUCUCCUUAGUUCCCAGCUGAUGCUGAAUUGAUUGUCAAAGAGCUGAAGAAUAACUGAUCAUGUGGAAGUUGGUGAAGAGGUGAACUAUAACUUGUGAUUGUUCUUUGGACCACGGAGUCUACAGUUACCAAAAGGGUAAUGAAUCUCAACAUUUCCUCCUCCACACCCUCCAGCUCCACCCGCUUCUUUUCCAUCCUGGAGGAGCUGGCUCAUGGGAAGGUCAGGUGGUGAAUACCGGAGUGGUAUUGGCAUAUUGAGUUCAUCUGGCACAAUGCUGAAAAUACAGCAAUGGCUCAACAACAUCUUCUCAACUGAGUAGAGACCACAUGCUCUCUGACCCUCACCACCACAGCAACUCACCGUUGAAAGUUAAGCAAGUCCUGGAGAGUGUUCUGAAGAAUAAAAGAUGAUUCCUUAGCUGUGUUCACGUGACCAUUCGCUGAAUUAUCUCAAGAACUCAGACCCAGAAGACGUGAGGGCUCAGAUGACAGCUCACCCUUCUGCCACUCCAGAAAGGUUUACACCUCUUGUAACUAUUGUCUAGGAAAAUUACUCUUCUUCCCUCUUUUACCCCUCCACUAUGUCUUCCUGACUCUAUGGACAGAUCAAACUGACCUACCUAAAACAAACCAACAAUUACCAAAACAAAGUUUGCACUUCAUA
Molecule: long non-coding RNA, 829 nt
Organism: Suricata suricatta (meerkat)
Lineage: Eukaryota; Metazoa; Chordata; Mammalia; Carnivora; Herpestidae
Exons: 4
Source: RefSeq, a predicted model, not a curated record